Molecule: long non-coding RNA, 1127 nt
Organism: Notolabrus celidotus (New Zealand spotty)
Lineage: Eukaryota; Metazoa; Chordata; Actinopteri; Labriformes; Labridae
Exons: 4
Source: RefSeq, a predicted model, not a curated record
UGAAGAAAAUCGGAUCAUGUCUCUGAGAUUCAGAGAGGCUUUUCUCUCCUGCAGCCCGGUGAUCGUUUCCUCCCAUGAAGAGAGCAGCUGCAGCGGCGUGGACCAGAUGCUGCCGCCGCCGAACAUCAGCAGCGAAACAGGAGAGAGAGGGAGGCCGCUGGUCGCAGUAAACGACUUGUUGGAUUUGAUGAGGAAGAAUGGAAACAUGAGAGAGAGACAUCAGUUCACCGCUGCUCCAGGAGGAAAAGUCCUGACUCCCACACCUCCAGUUAAACCCGUAAUCCGUAUCCUCGCCGCCUUUUCCCUCCAAGGUCAAAUCCACAAAUGAAAAACCUGAACAAAGACAGUCUGAAUCAGCGCUGGACUGGAUCGGCAGUGAUAAACUCUCAGACACGUGAAGCAGAAACAAACACUCAGACUGCAAAGCUGUGGGAACAUCUCUGGGAUAAUCACAUGACUCUUGUCUCUUUAAACUCAGGUGAUGUAGAGCAUACAAGUCUAGUUUUGGUCUUUGGGAACAGACAGACCAAUGAUAACAAGACCCUCAUCUAUGAGACCUACAUCGUCAGCCAUGUUUGUUCACUCUGAAGUCACGUUUGACCUGGAGAGAUUUGGGGGGAUUUCAGGUCCAGACAGUGUGGACUCUGUAAAGCCUGGUUUAUACUUAUGCACCUCUUCCAAAAUGUAACUACAUGUUGAAACAACACGGACUUCAAGCCCUGUGAAGCCCCUGGAAACAAGCAUCGAAUGUAGCAGGACCAGAAACAGGCGUAUCUCUAACUGGAGCUUCAAGGUUUGUCAAGCCAGCCGGCAUCCUGGACUCACUGACCCACCAGAGAUUGAUUCCCAUGUGACACCAAAACAUGAGCCCACAUAGAGUCCAGAUUAUUCAUGAAGAGAAAACUGAAAGAAGAAGCCUUCUCCACACCUCUUAGAUUUACCUCCAAUCCCAUUACAGAAAAAUCCAUCAUUGUAAUCUGGAGACAACAAUUUAUUCUUAAACCAAUACAUGAAACGGAGGGCGUUUGGGUCCCGACAGGUAGAGAGGGACAUCAUUUCCACUGGAGCGAGCUGCAGAAGGAUCAAAAUGUUUUACUUAAAAUUCCUGUUGUGGGACAAAUAAAGGA